GCAAACAGGAUUAGAUACCCUGUAGUCCACCCGUAAACGAUGAAUCCAGCCGUUAGUGGGUUUACUCACUAGUGGCGCAGCUAACGCUUUAAGCAUUCCGCCUGGGGAGUACGGUCGCAAGAUUAAAACUCAAAGGAAUUGACGGGGGGCCCGCACAAGCGGUGGAGCAUGUGGUUUAAUUGACGCAACGCGCAGAACCUUACCAGCCCUUGACAUCCCGGUCGCGGACUCCAGAGACGGAGUUCUUCAGUUCGGCUGGACCGGAGACAGGUGCUGCAUGGCUGUCGUCAGCUCGUGUCGUGAGAUGUUGGGUUAAGUCCCGCAACGAGCGCAACCCCCGUCCUUAGUUGCUACCAUUUAGUUGAGCACUCUAAGGAGACUGCCGGUGAUAAGCCGCGAGGAAGGUGGGGAUGACGUCAAGUCCUCAUGGCCCUUACGGGCUGGGCUACACACGUGCUACAUUGGCGGUGACAAUGGGAUGCUAAGGGGCGACCCUUCGCAAAUCUCAAAAAGCCGUCUCAGUUCGGAUUGGGCUCUGCAACUCGAGCCCAUGAAGUUGGAAUCGCUAGUAAUCGUGGAUCAGCACGCCACGGGAAACGUUUCCCGGGCCUGACACACCGCCCGUCACAC
This 630-nucleotide ribosomal RNA is filed under the name Bradyrhizobium sp. UFSM-B61. RNAcentral's name for it is "bacterial SSU rRNA". It matches the Rfam family "Bacterial small subunit ribosomal RNA", at positions 768 to 1402 of the family's 1533-position model. Lineage: Bacteria; Pseudomonadati; Pseudomonadota; Alphaproteobacteria; Hyphomicrobiales; Nitrobacteraceae. The record is from RNAcentral.